AUGCGCAGUUACCACAGCACUGGAAAGAUGGCAGAGGGAGAGGAAAGAAAAAAGAUCCCAUUGGUUCCAGAAAAUCUCCUGAAAAAGAGGAAGGCUUAUCAAGCCCUCAAAGCCGCCCAAGCAAAGCAAGCACUUUUGGAAAAGAAGGAGAGGAAAGGAAAAGAGUUCAGGUUGAGACGGCUGGAAUCAUUCCUACGUGAUUCCUGGCGACAGCAACGCGAUAAGGCGUCAGAAGUGAAGCCUCGUGCUUUGGCAGUGCCUGAUAAACGUUCCUUGGCCUUUGUUGUGCGCAUCCAAAGGACUGAAGGCGUCAGUUUACUGGCGAAGAGGACCAUUGCAAGACUUCGUCUGAAGAAAUUGUUUAGUGGUGUCUUUGUCAGAGUCACUCCCGGAAACAUGAAAGUGCUUUGUGUAUUGGAACCUUAUGUGACCUGGGGAUUUCCAAAUCUGAUCUGUCCGAGAACUGAUCUUGAAACGUGGACAAGCAAAGGUUAAGAGUAAGACCGUCCCUCUGACAGACAGCACUGUGAUUGAAGAGCACCUGGGGAAGUUUGGUGUCAUUUGCCUGGAAGACCUCAUUCAUGAAAUAGCCUUCCUGGGGAAGCAUUUCCAGGAGAUCUCUGGAUCCUUGCGUCCUUUCCACCUCUCUGUGGCCUGUCACGCUACCAAGAAUAGAGUGGGCUUCCUUAAGGGGAUGGGCUCACCUGGCUAUCGGGGUGAACGCAUCAAUCAGCUCAUCUGCCAGCUGAACUAG
Molecule: non-coding RNA, 754 nt
Organism: Castor canadensis (American beaver)
Lineage: Eukaryota; Metazoa; Chordata; Mammalia; Rodentia; Castoridae
Source: RefSeq, a predicted model, not a curated record